ACACACACACACACACACACAGAGAGGAGAUCUGUGGGUUGGUGGUCUCUAUUCGCUUCCAGGUACGUACACACACACACACACACACAGAGAGGAGAUCUGUGGAGUGGUGGUCUCUAUUCGCUUCCAGGUACGUACACACACACACACACAGAGAGGAGAUCUGUGGAGUGGUGGUCUCUAUUCGCUUCCAGGUACGUACACACACACACACACACACAGAGAGAGGAGAUCUGUGGGGUGGUGGUCUCUAUUCGCUUCCAGGUACGUACGUACACACACACACACACACACACACACACACACACACAGAGAGAGGAGAUCUGUGGGGUGGUGGUCUCUAUUCGCUUCCAGGUAUGUACACACACACCACACACACGUGUGGUUUGGCGCAUGGCCGCUUGGUGCAAUACAGCUCAAUCUACCACAUUCCUGGCUAUUGGUUGUCACUAGUUACCACAGCCACAAAACCUAACUAUUUUUACAAUUUCUAUUCUUAAAAUAUGGUUUUAAACCUUAACCCUAACAUCGAUGGGGCUGUAGUGGAGCUGGUCGAGAGUUUCAAGUUCGUUGGUGAUGUGGACACCAUCAUCAAAUCAAAUGUAUUAAUAUAGCCCUUCGUACAUCAGCUGAUAUCUCAAAGUGCUGUACAGAAACCCAGCCUAAAACCCCAAACAGCAAGCAAUGCAGGUGUAGAAGCACGUUGGCCAGGAAAAACUCCCUAGAAAGGCCAAAACCUAGGAACAAACCUAGAGAGGAACCAGGCUCUGAGGGGGGGGGGCAGUCCUCUUCUGGCUGUGCCAGGUGGAGAUUAUAACAGAACAUGGCCAAGAUGUUCAAAUGUUCAUAAAUGACCAGCAUGGUCAAAUAAUAGGUCUGGGACAGGUAGCACGCCCGGUGAACAGGUCAGGGUUCAGCAGGUCUGGGACAGGUAGCACGCCCGGUGAACAGGCCAGGGUUCCAUAGCUGCAGGCAGAACAGUUGAAACUGGAGCAGCAAGGAGUCAUGCCAGGUAGUCCUGAGGCAUGGUCCUAGGGCUCAGGUCCUCCGAGAGAGAGAGUGAAUUAGAUAUAACAAACUGACCCUAGCCCCCCGACACAUAAACUACUGCAGUAUAAAUACUGGAGGCUGAGACGGGAGGGGUCAGGAGACACUGUGGCCCCAUCCGAUGAUACCCCCGGACAGUGCCAAACAGGAAGGAUAUAACCCCACCCACUUUGCCAAAGCACAGCCCCCACACCACUAGAGGGAUAUCUUCAACCACCAACUUACCAUCCUGAGACAAGGCUGAGUAUAGCCCACAAAGUUCUCCGCCAUGGCACAACCCAAGGGGGGGCACAUCCCAGACAGGAAGAUCACAUCAGUGACUCAACCCACUCAAGAGACGCACCCCUCCUAGGGAUGGCAUGAAAGAGCACCAGAAAGCCAGUGACUCAGCCCCUGUAACAGGGUUAGAGGCAGAGAAUCCCAGUGGAAAGAGGGGAACCGGCCAGGCAGAGACAGCAAGGGCGGUUCGUUGCUGCAGAGCCUUUCCGUCAUGGUCCAAACAUACCAAGAAAUUGGUGAAGAGGGCACAACAAAACCUUUUCCCCCUCAGGAGACUGAAAAGAUUUGGCAUGGGUCUCCAGAUCCUCAAAAAUGUCUACAGCUGCAACAUCGAUAGCAUCCUGACUAGUUGCAUCACUGUCUGGUAUGGUAACUGCUCAGCAUCUGACCAUAAGGCACUACAGAGGGUAGUGUGUACGGCCCAGUACAUCAUUGGUGCCAAGCUUCCUGCCAUCCAGGACCUAUAUAAUAGGCGGUGUCUAAGGAAAGCCCAUAAAAUUGUCAGACUCAUCAAGUCAUAGACUGUUCUCCCUGCUACCACACGGCAAGCAGUACCGGAGCACCAAGUCUGGGUCCAAAAGGCUUCCCUGAUCAUUUUCGUCUGCAACCACUGAAAAGCAUAGCGCAACAGUCAAAUAAUAUUACUAGAAAAUAUUCAUAUUCAUGAAUUCACUAUGCAAUAUUUUGAAACACAGCUUAGCCUUUUGUUAAUCACCUUGUUGUCUCAGAUUUUGAAAUGAUGCUUUACAGCCAAAGCAAUCCAAGCGUUUGUGUAAAUUUAUCGAUAGCCUAGCAUAGCAUUAUGUCCAGCUAGCAGCAGGAAGCUUGGUCACGAAAA
Molecule: long non-coding RNA, 2164 nt
Organism: Oncorhynchus nerka (sockeye salmon)
Lineage: Eukaryota; Metazoa; Chordata; Actinopteri; Salmoniformes; Salmonidae
Exons: 2
Source: RefSeq, a predicted model, not a curated record